This 74-nucleotide transfer RNA is filed under the name Gemmatimonadota bacterium. Its description in RNAcentral is "tRNA-Arg". It matches the Rfam family "tRNA". From Rfam's summary of the family: Transfer RNA (tRNA) molecules are approximately 80 nucleotides in length. Their secondary structure includes four short double-helical elements and three loops (D, anti-codon, and T loops). The record is from RNAcentral. RNAcentral also lists the same sequence under 3 other names. Lineage: Bacteria; Pseudomonadati; Gemmatimonadota.
GCGCCCUUAGCUCAAUUGGAUAGAGCAUUUGACUACGGAUCAAAAGGUUGGGGGUUCGAGUCCCUCAGGGCGCA